CAAAAGCAAAAAAAUCUUGCAAACUAACAAAUUUAAUAGGGUAGGUAAUUUAUAAAAGAAACAUAUCAGUUUAUUAAAUAAAGUUGGUGUAGUGUCUUUGAAAUAAAUGAUUAUAUCAUGGAUACUCCAAUGCAUGGUUUACUAAUGUGUCGUGUCUUAUAUAAUUGUCAAUGCUCAAAAUCAAACAUGAAUUUUAGUAGACCAUUAUUUUCUUCAGAAAGAGGUAA
Molecule: long non-coding RNA, 227 nt
Filed under: Elaeis guineensis (African oil palm)
Lineage: Eukaryota; Viridiplantae; Streptophyta; Magnoliopsida; Arecales; Arecaceae
Description: long non-coding RNA (EGUI_LNC019659)
Source: RNAcentral